AAACUGUUCUUUCUUCAAAAUAUCUUCUUUUAUUUCCCUCAAAAGAAAGUAAGUCAAAUAUGUUUGGAACAAUAUGAAUGUGAGUAAAUGACAGAAUUUUCCAUUAUUCUGUGGGUGAACUAUCCCUUUAAUCAUACUACUAUAACUGAAUAUGCUCACAAACGUUCUGGUACUGUUUUAGCACUUAGUACAAGAUGGAGCAAGAGGGAGAAUAUUAUUCCAGGGUGUUUUGGCACCAGAGGACAGCUCUGUGAAAGGUUACCCAGGUGGUCUUUCCUCAACUCCUCCGUCUCUCCCCCAGCGGAAUGUCAGUUUCAAUUCCCUGGCUCAAUUCCCCAGUCCCUUACCCAAAUCAUCAUGUGAACCUCAGAUUGCUUAAAUAUGGACCCGUGAAUCUGAUACUCUGUUGGGUUUUGAGUCUUGACGGAGGUGCUGAGAGCCGGCUGAUGAGGGGGCCCAGCCGUCCGCCAUAUUGCCGCCCAGUAUGCCGUGUCAUGUUCUCUGAACAAUCGCCCGUGUCCUUCUAGUUGGGUAAACAACGGAGGCUGUCAGCCGGUGUCAGGUUUGGGCUUUUCAAAGCAAAAGAAGGAGAAUGACAGAUGACUGCUCUGAGUGCAGCCGACACUUUGCUGAUAAUGGUGAUCUGAGUGCUGAUACGGAGAGGCAGAGUGCGAUGGGCGAGCGAGAUAUACCCGGUAAAACAUACAGAACCCACAGUUUUGACAAACACACUGCUGGGAAAGACUGCGAGGUGCUUUCAGUGAGAUUCCCCGGCUCGCUUGAUUCUCUGAUUCAUCCGUGGCGGAAUUUGACAUGUGUUGAGGUUGAAUCACAUCCACAAUUGUUCCAAUGUCAGGACUGUAUUGUAAAAACUACUGUGAAUAUUCUGGUGGGAAUUCAAUUUUCUGAAGAAGAGAAAAAACAGUUAAUGAUAGAAAAUCUGGUCAGUGUCAGCUCUGAGAUGCACAGAUGAAGUGAUCAUAUUUAAUGUCAGCCGUUCAGAUUCCUUGGUGUAAAUCAGCUGACCCUUUCACAAAAUGCUUGAUGAAUUAAGCUCCACAGAACACUUUCAUUAAAUUGAACUCAAAGUAAUCUGUUCAGGGUUCAUGGGGUUGACAAGCCACAAAAAAACAACAUGUCUGACACGGCCGGCACGAGCGUACCUGUAACCAGAGCCGAGGGACCGUGGCGUGCCAAAACUCGGCAACCCUCACGCUGAGAAAGAGUCCAGUUAGACCGGAUCUCCACCCCACACAUCAGCUCUCCUCACCCCUCGAGUGCUGGCCAGGCCUGCACAGUGGGGUGCCUCCAUCUGGACAAAUUCUACCCUGACAGGAGACAUGGCUGCAUUAAAGAACGUAUUCACAUACGGCCCACUCAGGACUGUCACUGCUGGAGACGGAGAGCAGACUGGAGGAGAGAGAGAGAGAGAAAGAGAGAGAGAGAGAGAAAUCUGUGAUUUCGCUUGAGCACUACAGAACUCUCAUUCUAUAGCCCAUCUGUCAACCAUUAUGGACCUGGGCCCUUUAGCUCCUCCUUCACAUGGAAUGUACAGAGAGGAUUUUUUCUGUUUAAAAUAAAAAGGCUGCACAUUAGGCA
Molecule: long non-coding RNA, 1599 nt
Organism: Cyprinus carpio (common carp)
Lineage: Eukaryota; Metazoa; Chordata; Actinopteri; Cypriniformes; Cyprinidae
Source: Ensembl